RNAcentral lists this small RNA (472 nucleotides) under Pongo abelii (Sumatran orangutan). RNAcentral's name for it is "processed transcript". Lineage: Eukaryota; Metazoa; Chordata; Mammalia; Primates; Hominidae. The record is from RNAcentral.
GAAGCUAUCUAGAGGCCCACCAAGAGUCAUCUAAUUAGUAUAAACUCAGGUGUGGUUGAAAGGAAUACAUUAUGAGUAACAAAAAGCGCUUCUGUUAUUGAGGAAAACCUAAGGGUUUUAGGAGCUCUGCCAGGAAUCAAGGACAAAGACCAAAUAUGUAGGAUGAAUUGGACAAGGAUGAGACUCGUGUAGGUGAGGACAGUUGGAAGGAUCAUGAUGUUGUAAUCUUGGAGUUAGGUGAAACAGGCAGUCCGUUGCCACUGGGCAGUAUAGAUAUGUUGUCCAGCCUGCCAUCACUGGACUGUAGUUAAGGUGGAUGUCUUGUCCGGUCUGCUGCCACUGGGCUGUAUGUAAGGAGGUUCUUCUGUCCACCCCACCGCUACUGGAUUCUUUCCCCUGUAGAUGGUCCUAGAACAAUUGGAGAUUCAUACGCACACAAAGAACCUCAACUCUUACCUCACACCAGACACAA